GGUCUGGGAGGUUAUGGAGCAGCUUUGUACUGUGGCACAGGGUGUUUACACAGAAGGGAAAGUCUUUGUGGUCGAAAAUUCUCUGAGGAUCAAACUUUUGAAUGGAAAAACAAGCUGCAAGAAAAAUCCUCUUAUAAAACUGUGGAAGAAUUAGAGGAAGCAUCGAAAAUUGUUGCAAAUUGUAGCUAUGAAGAAGGGACUCAAUGGGGAAAGCAGAUUGGGCUGUUGUAUGGAUUUCCGGUGGAAGAUAUACUCACAGGAUUAACGAUCCAGUGCAGAGGAUGGAAAUCAAUAUACUAUAAUCCAAGUAAACCUGCUUUUUUAGGCGUUUCUCCGACAAUCUUAGAUGUUGCUCUUGUUCAACAUAAGAGAUGGUCAGAAGGCAUGUUUCAGAUUUUCAUAUCGAAAUAUUGUCCCUUCAUAUAUGGCUAUGGCAAAAUCAAAUUGGGUGCUCAAAUGGGAUACUGCAUUUACCUUCUUUGGGCUCCUCUAUCUGUUCCUACACU
Molecule: unclassified non-coding RNA, 506 nt
Filed under: Hevea brasiliensis (rubber tree)
Lineage: Eukaryota; Viridiplantae; Streptophyta; Magnoliopsida; Malpighiales; Euphorbiaceae
Source: RNAcentral